RNAcentral lists this transfer RNA (72 nucleotides) under Camelus bactrianus (Bactrian camel). It matches the Rfam family "tRNA". From Rfam's summary of the family: Transfer RNA (tRNA) molecules are approximately 80 nucleotides in length. Their secondary structure includes four short double-helical elements and three loops (D, anti-codon, and T loops). RNAcentral also lists the same sequence under 2 other names. Lineage: Eukaryota; Metazoa; Chordata; Mammalia; Artiodactyla; Camelidae. The record is from Rfam by way of RNAcentral.
GAGGAUAUAGCUCAGUGGUAGAGCACAUGCUAAGCAUACAUGAGGUCCUGGGUUCAAUCCCCAGUACCUCCA